This 3054-nucleotide unclassified non-coding RNA is filed under the name Agrilus planipennis (emerald ash borer). RNAcentral's name for it is "constitutive coactivator of PPAR-gamma-like protein 1, transcript variant X2". The record is from RNAcentral. Lineage: Eukaryota; Metazoa; Arthropoda; Insecta; Coleoptera; Buprestidae.
UAAAAGCAGCUUCCGUCAUGCGCUCGAUGUUGUGUUGUGUCUUCAAGUUCUUCCGGUAAAGUUUUUGUUCGUGCAUACUCAAGAUGCAGUUUUUAAAUUGGUUUAUUUAGCUCAUACUGAAGAAAUUUAUUUUUUGUUCCAAGUCGUAUUGCUAAAAUGGUUAUCCAAGAUUUGCAAGCGUUUUUAGAAAGCCCAAAUUUAGAAGGGGGUGCAGUUUCUGUUGAUUUGUUGAAAAUAGCCCGAAAUGUCACGCAACGUCAACAACCCCAGUACCCUACCCGUAAAAUUAGGCCUAUUGGUAACAAACUUAAGCUUAUCAUGGAUGCAGAAUGUUGUUUAGAUAGACUUUAUGGUGGAUUCUUCUCUGAUUGGGCCUGUGGUGGCCAGUGGAAUCGAAUGGUUCAAUUUUUAUCAUUACUUAUGCAAGCAAUAGAAAGAGGAAAUAUUGAAUUAGCAAUCGUUUUUAAUGGAACAUCUGAACCACAACGCUUCUCAGAAUGGACAGCAGAGCAGGCCAAUAUAAGACAGAAAGUUGGAUUAGUUCUAAAACAUGUAAACAUGAAAGGCACACCACCACCGAAAAUUUGGUGGACUCCACCAACCUGUUUAAGGACAUCCUUGCGCAUGGCUCUUCGUCAUUUAAAUGCAGCUGUGAUGUGUACAAUGGACGAUCAUCAUCAGGAGGUGAUAGCGUAUUGUCGUGAGUACGGUUUUCAUGGUUUAUUGGCUGAUAAUGCAGAAUAUGCAGCUUUUGAUCCACCACGGUAUUUUUCUUCUGAACAUCUAAAACUUACUUAUAAAGGAUCACUUGAGACUAAGGAAUACAUGAUUGGGGAGCUUACAAAAGCUCUGGAACUUACUACAGAACAGGUUUGUGUUUUGGCAGCAAUUUUGGGCAACUUUUUACUACCUGAAGUUCAAAUGCAAGAUAUUUACAGGAAGAUAUUGGAAGCCACCGGAUCUAAAGAGGCGAAGUUGAGUGGCGAGACAGGGUUGAAGUCGAUCGCGGAAUUUGUCAGGACACUUUCACCUCCUUCGAACAUGGAUUCCUUGGUGGUGCAGUUAUUUGGGAGCGCCGACGACAAACGUGUUCCCGCUUUUAGACAAUCUGUACAGUAUUACCUAAACGGCACCGCUAACGGAUUCCUAAAAUAUUGCAGUGCUUCCGUGUUUAACUUUUUUAUAGCAAAUGGGAGAAAGGAUAAUUUGAAAGGGAACAAGAAGGGUAAUCAGAAUAAUAAUAAUAAUAUUAACAACGUUUCGAAUUCCAUUUCGAAAGGCGACGAGCCCGAAUUUGAUACGUCAGGGUUUGCUUCAGAAACCACUGAACAAGAGAUUGAAAGUCUUCAAAACUAUAAGCUGGCGACUGCAAACGCAGUAAUGUCGUCAGAUAUAAUGGUUGGUUUGCAGGAGAUGGAUUUGAAUUCGAUAAAGGGGGGAGAGUCGUCGCCUCUGUCGUCGGACAAUUCGCGUCUAAACGGUCACUCGGAAGUUUCCUUCAACAGUGCAGGAAGUGCAGCCACAUCUAACAACUUGACCAGUGCAAGUUCAGUCACCACCCGUAUCAAUCUCUUAGUUAGCUCCACUAGUUCCAACACCAGCAGUGUUCCCACGUCACCCAAACAUGGGGAACAGAAACAACAACAAUCAGUAAAUCCGAAUCCAGUGAAACCGACGGUAUCAUUGGACGUUCUGCGAACGGCUUCGUUACGACAUCAGAAGGGACUGAUGGCUCCACUCAUUCUCCACGUCCUGAGCACCCAGGAAGUUCGAUUACCCUGUCUCAUGGAGGACGAAAAUUAUCGUGAGUUCCCGCCGAUCCACGAGAUUUAUAGGCCGUUACGUCAACGUGUCUACGCUGUUCUAUUCAAUCUACACCACCUUCGUUAUGUACACAGCAAAAAGAAAGAAGCGGGUGAGGUGGCCGACAACAGUCCCCAGCCGGACAUCAUAGUGAAAGAGUGGGUUUAUAGUCGUGCUAAUCCUUACCAGCAUGCGGAACAGGUGAAAGCGGAUCCCUUACCGUGGGCGGUACCGACGUUAAAUCGCCUUUGGUUCGGUCCUUCACUUGACGACAAAAGGAGGCGAAUGCGUGCACUCCUGUCCUGUCUAAAUUCUGACACCCCCCUCAUUCUGAACACUUCGUAUGUGCCUCAACACAUGCUCGUGAUGGCUUGCGUGCUCCGUUACAUCAUGUCACAGGGGUGGGCAAUACUACGACGCCAAGAACUAGACGCUUUCAUCGCAGCCGCCUUCAGUCCUGAUCUCAUGAACGCCCAGUAUUUACAAGAUUUAACGUUGACAAUGGUGACGAGUCGCGGGGUCCAAUUGGCCGCGAUAUUCAUGGAGGGCGUGGAGAUGGCACUUUUGGCGAACGACGCGUGCGGCGCCCCCUUGCCGUGGCUUAUGUGUUGCCCUUGGCUAUAUUUCGACGGUAAACUGUUCCAUCAUACUCUCGCCCGUACUAUGCAUUCCAAGAACUUGCUCGAACUCUGCGAGAAUCAUAUCGAAUGGGUUGUAAAAGUAGAACGUAUGCGAAAGGCCGUGCUCGAAGGUCUCGACGUUCAAUUUGCCAAAUUACCCUUGCCGCCGUUUACAGGAUUGUUGCGCCAGGGAAUGCCCCCACCAUGUAAUUUGCCGACAGUACCGUUGCCGUCAACCAGGGGGGCUGCAGGAUUGAGGCAGAGGCCGAUACCGUCCCGAGGAGGACAGUUGCAAGUAGCGGGAGUAGUGGUUGGAUCGUGGGGAGCCAACUACGGUUAUAUGAGGCAACAGCCCCAAGUAACUGGUGGUCGGGGACGCGGUUUCAGUCCCCACUAUAACCAGGGACAGAAUCGAAAACCGGGACCUCCCACCUACAAUGUCAACAAGAAAAAUAACGAAGAAAGCCAAGAGUAAUCAGCAAAGGCAACAGGCGACCGCACCAAAAGGUCGGGGAAUGACGGUUAAAACGAACAAGGGGGACGUUCUUGCGACUGAUCUUCUCAAGAACGAGACCAUCUUCUCGCCGGAGGAGGUCGCUUUUGAGGACUGCAAGUCAGCGACCGCGUCCCG